Molecule: ribosomal RNA, 866 nt
Filed under: uncultured bacterium
Lineage: Bacteria
Description: bacterial SSU rRNA
Rfam family: Bacterial small subunit ribosomal RNA
Source: RNAcentral
AGGACGAACGCUGGCGGCGUGCCUAACACAUGCAAGUCGAACGAGGUCCAUCCGGUGGCAACACUGGUGAAGACCGAGUGGCGAACGGGUGAGUAACACGUGAGCAACCUGCCCCGAAGACUGGGAUAACCCCGGGAAACCGGAGCUAAUACCGGAUACCCCCACCGGGUCACAUGGCCUGGUGAGGAAAUGGAUUCCGCUUUGGGAGGGGCUCGCGGCCUAUCAGCUUGAUGGUGGGGUAAUGGCCUACCAUGGCACCGACGGGUAGCUGGUCUGAGAGGACGAUCGGCCACACUGGGACUGAGACACGGCCCAGACUCCUACGGGAGGCAGCAGUGGGGAAUCUUGCGCAAUGGGCGAAAGCCUGACGCAGCAACGCCGCGUGUGGGACGAAGGCCUUCUGGGUUGUAAACCACUUUCAGCAGGGACGAUUGUGACGGUACCUGCAGAAGAAGCCCCGGCCAACUACGUGCCAGCAGCCGCGGUAAUACGUAGGGGGCGAGCGUUGUCCGGAAUUAUUGGGCGUAAAGAGCUCGUAGGCGGCUUGGCAAGUCACGUGUGAAAUCUCCAGGCUCAACCUGGUGAUGCCACGUGAUACUGCCAUGGCUUGAGUCCGGUAGGGGACCAUGGAAUUCCUGGUGUAGCGGUGAAAUGCGCAGAUAUCAGGAGGAACACCAGUGGCGAAGGCGGUGGUCUGGGCCGGUACUGACGCUGAGGAGCGAAAGCGUGGGGAGCGAACAGGAUUAGAUACCCUGGUAGUCCACGCCGUAAACGUUGGGCACUAGGUGUGGGACCCUAUCGACGGGUUCCGUGCCGCAGCUAACGCAUUAAGUGCCCCGCCUGGGGAGUACGGCCGCAAGGCUAAA